GGUGUGGUGAACACGUGCUGACUGAAUGGGAGCCCUCGUGAACAACCGGCUAGACCAAUCGCAAUAAAUCCCCCAAGAGAGAACUCCAAGCUAACCAGACAAAACAACAGUGAAACUCCAACAUGUCACUGAGAGCCCACAGAAAACCAGACGCCAUCCUAUUCACUCUGUAGUCUCAAGACCAUGCCAUGCCUCAAGAUGAUUCUGCAAUCCACAAGACAAACAAGACAGUAGAACAAUUAGUGCAUUUACUUUGUGUCUCAAUCUCUUUGUCAUAGGGCCAAAGAAAUGUAUGAAACUCAAGAUGUGCUACAAACUGUCAGUUGCCAAGCAAGUGUCUGGGACAUGGCAGCCAAUGGGAGACUGCAUGAACAACUCCCCUUAACCAAUCAGAGCUCUGAUAAGGAGCGUGUGAAAUGCCUUUAGCUACCUGAGAUAAGGACCAAACUUCCCAUGUUGUUUUUGCCCCAGUUACCUUGAGACUCACAGAGCCAAACCAUAUAAACAGGCUUUCUAACCUCUCAAACAUGUUUUUAUAGUGAUGCUGUUUGUAGAGUUGUCAAAUGAUUUCUUUCAAAAAGUUCAAGUGAAGGUUGAUGAAGUCAAAUCUAGAACUCUGGGUUGAAUUCCAAUGUAUUCCAAAAAUCAAAUUGUUCCUUUCACUUUCUCUUAGACCCUCUGCUUUUAAUCUAAUUUGACUGGUCGUGAACUUGGCACUGUGACACACUUCCAUGAAUUGAUUGCAGGUGUAAAAAUACUUUCUCCCAUGCUGGGGCCUCAGAGCACUAAUGAACACCAUAUAAAAUUAGCGCCCACUAAUCCAAGGAUUUCAAUGUCUUAAUCAACAGGCUACUAUCUGACAGGGUGCACACUUGCCCUGUCCUUGCAAAGACAUUCCAGCACCUUUAAGUACAGAACGGAUGGCUCAGCAAUAGGAGAUAACUCACAAUGCUUGCAUUAACAGAUGCAUAUUUAAAAUAGAUUAA
This 986-nucleotide long non-coding RNA is filed under the name Salmo salar (Atlantic salmon). Its description in RNAcentral is "lncRNA (ENSSSAG00000082008.1, ENSSSAG00020076883.1)". Lineage: Eukaryota; Metazoa; Chordata; Actinopteri; Salmoniformes; Salmonidae. The record is from RNAcentral.